GCGGACGGGUGAGUAACACGUGGGCAAUCUGCCCGAUACUCUGGGAUAACGCUUGGAAACGAGUGAUAAUACCGGAUGGUCUUCUUGGCCGCAUGGCCGAGAAGGAAAACACUCGUUCACGUCCGUGUCGGAUGAGCCCGUUGCGCAUUAGCUAGUUGUUUAGGGACUAGGGACUUAGGAGAUGAUGCGUAGCCGACCUGAUAAGGUGACCGGCCACCCUGUUACUGAGACCUACCCACACUACUCCUACCGGCAGCAACAGGGAAUCUUCUUCUUGGGGGAAGACCUCAUGGAGCAGCGCCACGUGUGUGAUGAAAGCCUUCUGGUUGUAAANCUCUGUUUUUGGGACCAACCGGAGACUGAGGGAAUGGGAACUUUCUGACGGGCCGCAGGAGGAAACCCCCCUAAUUACGUGCCUCACCCGCGGUAACACGAAUGGUGAAGUUCGUCCUUAUUCACUGGCCGUAAAGCCCGCGCAGGCGCUAUGUAAUUCUGAUGAAAGGCCGAACCUCAGCUUCACACUGCCUUA
This 529-nucleotide ribosomal RNA is filed under the name uncultured bacterium. RNAcentral describes it as "bacterial SSU rRNA". It matches the Rfam family "Bacterial small subunit ribosomal RNA", at positions 98 to 628 of the family's 1533-position model. The record is from RNAcentral.